UGGGGAAUAUUGGACAAUGGGCGCAAGCCUGAUCCAGCAAUGCCGCGUGUGUGAAGAAGGCCUUCGGGUUGUAAAGCACUUUUAUCAGGAGCGAAACGCUGUCGGCUAAUACCCGGCGGAACUGACGGUACCUGAGGAAUAAGCACCGGCUAACUUCGUGCCAGCAGCCGCGGUAAUACGAAGGGUGCAAGCGUUAAUCGGAAUUACUGGGCGUAAAGCGUGCGUAGGCGGUUUCUUAAGUCUGCUGUGAAAUCCCCGGGCUCAACCUGGGAAUGGCAGUGGAUACUGGGAGGCUAGAGUGUGUCAGAGGGUGGUGGAAUUCCCGGUGUAGCGGUGAAAUGCGUAGAGAUCGGGAGGAACAUCAGUGGCGAAGGCGGCCACCUGGGACAACACUGACGCUGAGGCACGAAAGCGUGGGGAGCAAACAGGAUUAGACACCCUGGUAGUCCACGCCCUAAACGAUGCGAACUGGAUGUUGGUCUCAACUCGGAGAUCAGUGUCGAAGCUAACGCGUUAAGUUCGCCGCCUGGGGAGUACGGUCGCAAGACUGAAACUCAAA
This 559-nucleotide ribosomal RNA is filed under the name uncultured bacterium. RNAcentral describes it as "partial 16S ribosomal RNA". It matches the Rfam family "Bacterial small subunit ribosomal RNA", at positions 355 to 905 of the family's 1533-position model. The record is from RNAcentral.